UCCGACAAGCAUGAUUUCGAUCCUCUCUUCAUCCGAGAUUCACGAUCCUGAGGUCUCUAAAAAAGCACAAAGAUUCUUAGUCCGAGUAACGUAAAUUUUAAUGGAUAUGUUACCUUUCUUUAAAUAGUGUAGUUUAUGCCUAAGGUAUGAUUGUUUAGCACUCGUGUCGGCUGCAAAGAGGUCUGUUGCCGGGGUCCAAACGUCGCAGGCUGACUUAGUAUCGAUGAAGGACGGUAAAAGUGAUGC
This 246-nucleotide long non-coding RNA is filed under the name Gossypium barbadense (sea-island cotton). Its description in RNAcentral is "long non-coding RNA (GBAR_LNC022846)". Lineage: Eukaryota; Viridiplantae; Streptophyta; Magnoliopsida; Malvales; Malvaceae. The record is from RNAcentral.